UCCAUUGACAGCGUGAAUGGAGCGUUUCUUACCCCAGACUCUUCCUGUUGUGGAGGCAGGGACUUUUUCUCUUUCCCUUGGCGGCUGCUGACUGUGAUUCCAGUUCUGUACCGGCCAACAGGGCAGCCUGGGAGUCUUGACUCUGGCAGAGACUGAUGAAUAAGGAAGGCUGCUGGCAGCAGAGUCUGCAGGCCGGCUCAUGCUGUACGUCAUGCCUCGGAUUUCUCAGAUGUGAAAUUCUGAGCACUGUCCCUCCUUCACCUGCCCAGGGCUGAGCUGACCACUUCACAGUGUAUUCACUCCAUCACCCUGCUUCCCUUGGCGUCUGAGCUAUCUGGCGCGUUACACCCCACUUAGAUGAUUCACCGCAUCUCGUUCCUGUCUGGCAGGUAGCCGCUUCUCAGUACAUAGUACUGAAGGCCGGAAGCUUCUUCUGGUUUCCCUUGAAGAUCUAGAAACUGCUUUUCUGAUGUGGUCAGAAGUCUGAAGUCCCCCAUGAAGGGAAAGUCCUCUUCUCUCCACUCAAAAGCUCCAAGGACUGAAACCUCCACCAAAAACAAGGUGAGUACCUGAGUAAAUUUACCCAGCACACCAUACUCUCAAUUGGUGGCAUGGAAACACCAAUCAUGCUUGGCUCAAAGCUCAGCUAUGAAGAUCGUCUGAUACGUGUAGUGCAUUCAUUCCACAAGCAAGGAACUCUGAACCUUCACUUCUGGGAGGCGAAUGAGUGGAGCAGCCCAUUUGGAGCCUGAAGGGAGAUCCAGAGCAGGUGAGAAACAGUCCUUCAAAUGACUAUUAAACAACUCAGGCAUUGAAAGGAUGAGAGCUGUUCCCAGAGAGGUGAACUGCGACCAUAUAGGGACUGAUCCCGGUCUAUCUGGAGGGUGAGCUGGCUGAACCUCUUGUGACUAACACGCUCGCCAGGGGGAUCUGGCCUUGUCCAAACAGCAGCCGAUCUCACUAGAUGUCCUCCUGGACAUCUAGCAAUGUGUAAGGAUUUUUGCUUGCUAUAUCUUGGAAAGAGAGGGGCCACAUGGCCAUGGCAUUCAGUGGAAAGAGGCCAGGCAUGCUUCCCCUCUACACUAUGCCUUACCUAGGACAGCCCCGACGCCAAAAUUAAACCCUUCCAAAAUGUCAGGAGUGGUGAAACUGAUAAACUUUGCAUGCUACAUAGAGAACAGCAAGGGCAGGAAUGAAAAGAGAAGUUGUCCUGGAGGAAACAAACCUAAGUCUAGAGUGGCUGAAUGAAUGGAGACGAAGUGGAAGAAGUGAGGAAUUUGGGGUUACCCCUUGAGCAGCGAGAAAGCUCUCGGAAACGUUUCCUUCGGGAGGAUGAAAGCUGUGCAAAGCGCUUAGCACGUACAGGCGCCCAGGGGGUAAGGUCUGUUAAUUGUCACCAUUGUGU
This is a long non-coding RNA of Mesocricetus auratus (golden hamster), 1405 nucleotides long. RefSeq lists it as uncharacterized. The record is from RefSeq and is a predicted model, not a curated record. The transcript has 3 exons. NCBI's taxonomy places the organism in Eukaryota, Metazoa, Chordata, Mammalia, Rodentia, Cricetidae.